UAAAGGAGCAGCGUGAUCGCCGU
This 23-nucleotide non-coding RNA is filed under the name Arabidopsis thaliana (thale cress). Lineage: Eukaryota; Viridiplantae; Streptophyta; Magnoliopsida; Brassicales; Brassicaceae. The record is from RNAcentral.